AUCACUUCUCAGCCCUUUGGCCAAGAUCAAGUGUAGUACCUGUUCUUAUGAAUUAAAUAUCGGAUAUACCCUCUACCGAGGACAAUAUAUUAAAUGGAUUUUUGGAGUAGGGAGAUGGAAUUGGAGCUUGCUCCAUCUACUCCACACAUUGACCUCGUAUUGCAGUACCUCCUGGAACGGUGCACCUCCA
Sciurus vulgaris (Eurasian red squirrel) is the source of this 190-nucleotide small nuclear RNA. Its record names the gene U2. It matches the Rfam family "U2 spliceosomal RNA". Rfam says of the family: U2 is a small nuclear RNA (snRNA) component of the spliceosome (involved in pre-mRNA splicing). Complementary binding between U2 snRNA (in an area lying towards the 5' end but 3' to hairpin I) and the branchpoint sequence (BPS) of the intron results the bulging out of an unpaired adenosine, on the BPS, which initiates a nucleophilic attack at the intronic 5' splice site, thus starting the first of two transesterification reactions that mediate splicing. The record is from Ensembl. Lineage: Eukaryota; Metazoa; Chordata; Mammalia; Rodentia; Sciuridae.